Molecule: long non-coding RNA, 286 nt
Organism: Dermacentor silvarum
Lineage: Eukaryota; Metazoa; Arthropoda; Arachnida; Ixodida; Ixodidae
Exons: 3
Source: RefSeq, a predicted model, not a curated record
CUGGCUCUGUAAACUGAGGACAUGAAAUUUAUUUCUGUGUCACUACUCUUCUCAAUGUAUUCGACGCUUUCUUAUAGUCAACUUGAUUUUACAAAGCUGCCUGAAGAUGAUCAACGGAGGCUUAAAGAAGCCGAGCAGCUCCUGAACGGAAGCGACACAAUAUUCCUAGUCGAAGGCGUAAAUGGCGUGUUACGUGGAAACAAUCACAUUUGCUGGUCUUCUUCUCGAAUUUUCGACCGUACUGCACCAGGAUUUCACCAUAAGAUGACCUACUAUACUACCCAGA